Molecule: ribosomal RNA, 492 nt
Filed under: uncultured bacterium
Lineage: Bacteria
Description: partial 16S ribosomal RNA
Rfam family: Bacterial small subunit ribosomal RNA
Source: RNAcentral
AGUGAACGCUGGCGGUAGGCCUAACACAUGCAAGUCGAACGGCAGCACAGUAAGAGCUUGCUCUUACGGGUGGCGAGUGGCGGACGGGUGAGGAAUACAUCGGAAUCUACUUUUUCGUGGGGGAUAACGUAGGGAAACUUACUCUAAUACCGCAUCCGACCUACGGGUGAAAGCAGGGGAUCUUCGGACCUUGCGCGAUUGAAUGAGCCGAUGUCGGAUUAGCUAGUUGGCGGGGUAAAGGCCCACCAAGGCGACGAUCCGUAGCUGGUCUGAGAGGAUGAUCAGCGACACUGGAGCUGAGACAGGGUCCAGACUCCUACGGGAGGCAGCAGUGGGGAAUAUUGGACAAUGGGCGCAAGCCUGAUCCAGCCAUACCGCGUGUGUGAAGAAGGCCUUCGGGUUGUAAAGCCCUUUUGUUGGGAAAGAAAAGCAGCAGGUUAAUACCCCGCUGUUCUGACGGUACCCAAAGAAGAAGCACCGGCUAACUUCGUG